GCGUUCGGCACAUGAAAAGCGCGACGUUUGAAACAGGCCUAACUUGUCACGUACAUGAUAGUCUCAACAAAGUGCCAAACUCUUAAGGUCGGUUUCCAUUGCGGUCGCUUUGCCCACGCGGGCGGAGCGGGCUUUGAAAAUCUGCUCACGCGGGCGUGACGGGCGUCAAAAACAAUGAACGCUUCGCCCGCGCGGGCAAAGCGAACGUUAAUGGAAAACGGCUAAUUAAGGCCUGUUUCAAACGUCGCGUUUCUCAUGUGCCGAACGCAUUAAAAACAAUAGAUAAUCAGCUGAAAUGCCUCAUUAUCUAUUGUUUCUAAUGCAUUCGGCACAUGAGAAGCGAGACGUUUGAAACAGGCAUUA
Non-coding RNA from Paramuricea clavata, 363 nucleotides. The record is from the annotation of a GenBank genome assembly. Lineage: Eukaryota; Metazoa; Cnidaria; Anthozoa; Malacalcyonacea; Plexauridae.